This 426-nucleotide ribosomal RNA is filed under the name uncultured bacterium. Its description in RNAcentral is "bacterial SSU rRNA". It matches the Rfam family "Bacterial small subunit ribosomal RNA", at positions 355 to 773 of the family's 1533-position model. The record is from RNAcentral.
UGGGGAAUUUUGGACAAUGGGCGCAAGCCUGAUCCAGCCAUGCCGCGUGCGGGAAGAAGGCCUUCGGGUUGUAAACCGCUUUUGGCAGGAACGAAACGGCGCGGGUGAAUAUCCCGCGCUAAUGACGGUACCUGCCGAAUACGCACCGGCUAACUACGUGCCAGCAGCCGCGGUAAUCCGUAGGGUGCAAGCGUUAAUCGGAAUUACUGGGCGUAAAGCGUACGCAGGCGGCUUUGCAAGACAGGUGUGAAAUCCCCGGGCCUAACCUGGGAACUGCAUUUGUGACUGCAUGGCUAGAGUUUGUCAGAGGGGGGUGGAAUUCCACGUGUAGCAGUGAAAUGCGUAGAGAUGUGGAAGAACACCGAUGGCGAAGGCAGCCCCCUGGGAUGAGACUGACGCUCAUGUACGAAAGCGUGGGGAGCAAAC